RNAcentral lists this ribosomal RNA (497 nucleotides) under uncultured bacterium. RNAcentral describes it as "partial 16S ribosomal RNA". It matches the Rfam family "Bacterial small subunit ribosomal RNA", at positions 28 to 507 of the family's 1533-position model. The record is from RNAcentral.
GAUGAACGCUGGCGGCGUGCCUAAUACAUGCCAGUCGAGCGAACAGAUGAGGAGCUUGCUCCUCUGACGUUAGCGGCGGACGGGUGAGUAACACGUGUAUAACCUACCUAUAAGACUGGGAUAACUUCGGGAAACCGGAGCUAAUACCGGAUAAUAUAUUGAACCGCAUGGUUCAAUAGUGAAAGACGGUUUUGCUGUCACUUAUAGAUGGAUCCGCGCCGCAUUAGCUAGUUGGUAAGGUAACGGCUUACCAAGGCAACGAUGCGUAGCCGACCUGAGAGGGUGAUCGGCCACACGGGAACUGAGACACGGUCCAGACUCCUACGGGAGGCAGCAGUAGGGAAUCUUCCGCAAUGGGCGAAAGCCUGACGGAGCAACGCCGCGUGAGUGAUGAAGGUCUUCGGAUCGUAAAACUCUGUUAUUAGGGAAGAACAAAUGUGUAAGUAACUAUGCACGUCUUGACGGUACCUAAUCAGAAAGCCACGGCUAACUACGUG